AGAUUGAACGCUGGCGGCAUGCCUAACACAUGCAAGUCGAACGGGAGUAGCAAUACUCUAGUGGCGGACGGGUGAGGAAUACGUAGGAAUUUGCCCUUAAGUGGGGGAUAACCCGGGGAAACCCGGAUUAAUACCGCAUGACCUCGAAAGAGCAAAGUGGGGGAUCGCAAGACCUCACGCUUUUGGAGAAGCCUACGUCGGAUUAGCUAGUUGGUGAGGUAAUGGCUCACCAAGGCGACGAUCCGUAACUGGUCUGAGAGGAUGAUCAGUCACACCGGAACUGAGACACGGUCCGGACUCCUACGGGAGGCCAGCAGUGGGGAAUAGUUGGACAAUGGGCGCAAGCCUGAUCCAGCAAAUGCCGCGUGUGUGAAGAAGGCCUUACGGUUGUAAAGCAACGUUUAAGGUUAGGUAAGGAAAAAACUACGACUACGUAACUACAGUAGAGUACUUAGACGGUACCGAACUAAGAAUAAGACAACCGGCGUAACUCUGUGACC
RNAcentral lists this ribosomal RNA (500 nucleotides) under uncultured soil bacterium. Its description in RNAcentral is "bacterial SSU rRNA". It matches the Rfam family "Bacterial small subunit ribosomal RNA", at positions 26 to 510 of the family's 1533-position model. The record is from RNAcentral.